GUGGGGAAUAUUGGACAAUGGGGGGAACCCUGAUCCAGCCAUGCCGCGUGUGUGAAGAAGGCCUUUUGGUUGUAAAGCACUUUAAGCGAGGAGGAGGCUACCGAGAUUAAUACUCUUGGAUAGUGGACGUUACUCGCAGAAUAAGCACCGGCUAACUCUGUGCCAGCAGCCGCGGUAAUACAGAGGGUGCAAGCGUUAAUCGGAUUUACUGGGCGUAAAGCGCGCGUAGGUGGCCAAUUAAGUUAAAUGUGAAAUCCCCGAGCUGAACUUGGGAAUUGCAUUCGAUACUGGUUGGCUAGAGGAUGGGAGAGGAUGGUAGAAUUCCAGGUGUAGCGGUGAAAUGCGUAGAGAUCUGGAGGAAUACCGAUGGCGAAGGCAGCCAUCUGGCCUAAUACUGACACUGAGGUGCGAAAGCAUGGGGAGCAAACAGGAUUAGAAACCCGGGUAGUCC
RNAcentral lists this ribosomal RNA (451 nucleotides) under uncultured bacterium. Its description in RNAcentral is "partial 16S ribosomal RNA". It matches the Rfam family "Bacterial small subunit ribosomal RNA", at positions 354 to 796 of the family's 1533-position model. The record is from RNAcentral.